AAAACGGAGAGUUUGAUCCUGGCUCAGGAUGAACGCUGGCGGUAUGCUUAACACAUGCAAGUCGAACGGUGUCUUCGGACACAGUGGCGGACGGGUGAGUAACGCGUGAGAAUCUGGCUCUAGGUCUGGGACAACCACUGGAAACGGUGGCUAAUACCGGAUGUGCCGAGAGGUGAAAGGUUAACUGCCUAGAGAUGAGCUCGCGUCUGAUUAGCUAGUUGGAAGUGUAAUGGACUCCCAAGGCGACGAUCAGUAGCUGGUCUGAGAGGACGAUCAGCCACACUGGGACUGAGACACGGCCCAGACUCCUACGGGAGGCAGCAGUGGGGAAUUUUCCGCAAUGGGCGAAAGCCUGACGGAGCAAUACCGCGUGAGGGAGGAAGGCUCUUGGGUCGUAAACCUCUUUUCUCAGGGAAGAACACAAUGACGGUACCUGAGGAAUAAGCAUCGGCUAACUCCGUGCCAGCAGCCGCGGUAAUACGGAGGAUGCAAGCGUUAUCCGGAAUGAUUGGGCGUAAAGCGUCCGCAGGUGGCAAUGUAAGUCUGCUGUUAAAGAGUCUAGCUCAACUAGAUAAAAGCAGUGGAAACUACAUAGCUAGAGUACGUUCGGGGCAGAGGGAAUUCCUGGUGUAGCGGUGAAAUGCGUAGAGAUCAGGAAGAACACCGGUGGCGAAGGCGCUCUGCUAGGCCGUAACUGACACUGAGGGACGAAAGCUAGGGGAGCGAAUGGGAUUAGAUACCCCAGUAGUCCUAGCCGUAAACGAUGGAUACUAGGCGUGGCUUGUAUCGACCCGAGCCGUGCCGUAGCUAACGCGUUAAGUAUCCCGCCUGGGGAGUACGCCGGCAACGGUGAAACUCAAAGGAAUUGACGGGGGCCCGCACAAGCGGUGGAGUAUGUGGUUUAAUUCGAUGCAACGCGAAGAACCUUACCAAGGCUUGACAUGUCGCGAAUCUUCUUGAAAGGGAAGAGUGCCUUCGGGAGCGCGAACACAGGUGGUGCAUGGCUGUCGUCAGCUCGUGUCGUGAGAUGUUGGGUUAAGUCCCGCAACGAGCGCAACCCUCGUUUUUAGUUGCCAGCAUUAAGUUGGGCACUCUAGAGAGACUGCCGGUGACAAACCGGAGGAAGGUGGGGAUGACGUCAAGUCAGCAUGCCCCUUACGCCUUGGGCUACACACGUACUACAAUGCUCCGGACAGAGGGCAGCAAGCAUGCGAAUGCAAGCAAAUCCCGUAAACCGGAGCUCAGUUCAGAUCGCAGGCUGCAACUCGCCUGCGUGAAGGAGGAAUCGCUAGUAAUUGCAGGUCAGCAUACUGCAGUGAAUUCGUUCCCGGGCCUUGUACACACCGCCCGUCACACCAUGGAAGCUGGUAGUGCCCGAAGUCAUUACUCCAACCAUUCGUGGAGGAGGAUGCCUAAGGCAGGACUGGUGACUGGGGUGAAGUCGUAACAAGGUAGCCGUACCGGAAGGUGUGGCUGGAUCACCUCCUUUUU
This 1491-nucleotide ribosomal RNA is filed under the name Nostoc sp. ATCC 53789. RNAcentral describes it as "bacterial SSU rRNA". It matches the Rfam family "Bacterial small subunit ribosomal RNA". Lineage: Bacteria; Bacillati; Cyanobacteriota; Cyanophyceae; Nostocales; Nostocaceae. RNAcentral also lists the same sequence under 1 other name. The record is from RNAcentral.